Molecule: ribosomal RNA, 468 nt
Filed under: uncultured bacterium
Lineage: Bacteria
Description: partial 16S ribosomal RNA
Rfam family: Bacterial small subunit ribosomal RNA
Source: RNAcentral
GACGAACGCUGGCGGCGGGCUUAACACAUGCAAGUCGAACGGAAAGGCCGGGCUGUUGUGGGGUGCUCGAGAGGCGAGCGGGGGAGUAACACGCGAGUAACCUGUCCUUGACGUUGGGAUAAAUUCAGGAAACUGGGGCUAAUACCGGAGAGGAGCUCCUGCUGCACGGGGGGGGGUGGUAAGAGUCGGCGGUUGGGGAUGGAGUCGCGGCUUAUCAGCUUGUGGGUGGGGGAGCGGCUUACCAAGGCUUUGAGGGGUAGCCGGCCUGAGAGGGGGACCGGCCACAUCGCGACUGCGUGACGGCCCCGGCUCCUACGGGUGUCAGCAGUGGGGAAUAUGCCACAACGGGCCGAGGCCCGUUGGGGAAGCGCCGCGUGCGGGAUGACGGCCGCUGUGUUGUGAACCGAAUAAGCCUGUGACGAACCGUGGGUGACGGUACCGGGUAAAUAAGCACCGGCUAACUACGUG